This 502-nucleotide ribosomal RNA is filed under the name uncultured bacterium. Its description in RNAcentral is "partial 16S ribosomal RNA". It matches the Rfam family "Bacterial small subunit ribosomal RNA", at positions 30 to 523 of the family's 1533-position model. The record is from RNAcentral.
AUUGAACGCUGGCGGCAGGCUUAACACAUGCAAGUCGAGCGGGCGAGGUUGCUUCGGUAACUGAGCUAGCGGCGGACGGGUGAGUAAUGCUUAGGAAUCUGCCUAUUAGUGGGGGACAACAUUCCGAAAGGGAUGCUAAUACCGCUUACGUCCUACGGGAGAAAGCAGGGGCUCUUUAUGACCUUGCGCUAAUAGAUGAGCCUAAGUCGGAGUAGCUAGUUGGUGGGGUAAAGGCCUACCAAGGCGACGAUCUGUAGCGGGUCUGAGAGGAUGAUCCGCCACACUGGGACUGAGACACGGCCCAGACUCCUACGGGAGGCAGCAGUGGGGAAUAUUGGACAAUGGGGGGAACCCUGAUCCAGCCAUGCCGCGUGUGUGAAGAAGGCCUUUUGGUUGUAAAGCACUUUAAGUGGGGAGGAGGCUUACCUGGUUAAUACCUGGGCUAAGUGGACGUUACCCACAGAAUAAGCACCGGCUAACUCUGUGCCAGCCGCCGCCGUAA